UACGUAGGGGGCGAGCGUUAUCCGGAAUUACUGGGUGUAAAGGGCGUGUAGGCGGGAGCUUAAGUCUGAUGUGAAAUACCAAGGCUCAACUUUGGAACUGCAUCGGAAACUGGGCACCUAGAGUGCAGGAGAGGAAAGCGGAAUUCUCAGUGUAGCGGUGAAAUGCGUAGAUAUUGAGAGGAACACCGGUGGCGAAGGCGGCUUUCUGGACUGUAACUGACGCUGAGGCGCGAAAGCGUGGGUAG
Molecule: ribosomal RNA, 245 nt
Filed under: uncultured Oscillospiraceae bacterium
Lineage: Bacteria; Bacillati; Bacillota; Clostridia; Eubacteriales; Oscillospiraceae
Description: partial 16S ribosomal RNA
Rfam family: Bacterial small subunit ribosomal RNA
Source: RNAcentral